Homo sapiens (human) is the source of this 2016-nucleotide long non-coding RNA. Ensembl annotates it as hepatocellular carcinoma up-regulated long non-coding RNA. Its record names the gene HULC. The record is from Ensembl. Lineage: Eukaryota; Metazoa; Chordata; Mammalia; Primates; Hominidae.
AGAUGAGCUGACAGACCCUGGCUGAGCAGGAAGUGGCAGGGUCAGGAAAAGCUAGGCCACAAGUUUUCCCUUGAGAGCCUUAGAGUCUAGCCCUGUCGCCCAGGCUGGAGUGCCAUGGUUUGAACUCUACUCACCGCAACCUCCACCUCCCAGGUUCAAAUGAUUCUCCUGCCUCAGCCUCCUGAAUAUCUGGGAUUACAGCCUAGGAAGAGAGAGAAUGCCGAAAGACUUCUAAUGUAUGGAGUUUAAACAUCAGAUGGUGAUUGAUUGCUAUUAAUUUAUGUCAGCAAAGGAGGAGAAGAAAUACGUAAAACUGCCUCUGAAGAAUUUACAUUAAACACCAAAAGAAUCUGACUCUGAAAAUGAAGAAACAAGGAAUAUUGUUUGUUUUGGGAAUCAAAAAAAAAAAAAACUUCCCAUUUGAGUACACAAUUUCCUAAACAAGAUACAUGAUAAUUCCAUACACUAUGCUUUCCGAAGAAACUUUGUAAAACGUAUUUUCAUUAUUCAAAACUUGAAAACACAGAAACAAUAUGAUGCAAAAAAUUAUCUUUAGCAUUAUUCCACUAAGAUAAUUCAUUUUAACAUCCAUAUAUUCAUUAUUAUGUAAAAUACCUAUCAGUAUGUGGGUAUAUCUUUGUGUGUAUAUUUUAACAAAACAAAAUUCAAUAAAAAUUGAAAUACAGAAAUGACAAAAACACACAAAAAAUAUAAAUUAUUUCCAUUGUAGCAUAUAUUACCUUUUUCACCUAACAUUAUACUGUAGGAAUAUAUUCUUUCAUCAUUCAAUGCUUUUGAAAAUAUAAUAAUAUUCCAUUUUAAGGACAUGCUAUAAUUUAGUUCAUUAGUUUUUAAACUUUUAGAUUAUCUCAUUUUGUCAUCAUUUAAAAAAAGUGUUCCUGGAUGUCCUUUUGCAUAGACUUUUGAAUGUAUUUCUGACUAUUUUCUUAACCUGUCCUGUACUUCUGCAAGUAGAACUGCUUGAGCAGAGAUUAGGAGCAAUUUUAAGGUUUUUCAAAAAUCUUGACAAACUAUUCUGCAGGAAAAAUGUAUCUUGUUACCAUCAGCAUUUUUAAGUAACUAGUGACUAAUUGUAAAAAUAAUUGUGUUUCCUUGUAUUUAAGCCUUGCGCUAUAGAUUUUAAAAAUUUGUCCUUUUUUUUUUUUCAUUUGUAAAAAAAAGCCAUCUAAAAGACCUUAGAACCUGGUAUCAGCUGAAGCUUACUAAACCAUAUCAAGAAGAUCAUGUCAUUCUCAAGAAAAGCAUGUUUCAAAUAAAAAGGAAAUGUCAGCCCUGAGCGUUUUUAUUAACCAUCUCCCCAUCUGACUUCAGAGACAGCUUUAGCUGACCACUUCCUCUCUCGGGUUUAUUUGUAUUAGAAAUAAGUGGAUUCAUUAACUGUGCCACUUGGUGGUCAGGCCAGGCCUGCCAGUGUCCAAUAACAGGUAAUGGUUGUAUUUUUCACGGGGUGACUGAUGUUUACUUUGUUGAUGGCCCCAGGAGCUCAUGUAAUCUGAGAUAGGUCUUUGUUUACUUCUUGUUUUACUGAUAUGCUGACCCAUUUGAAACUAGCGAGAAAGAAAAAUAAACAUUCUGGAAUAUGGUACCUGAAGUCACUCUUCCUUAGUGGCUUUAUUGUAACCUCUUCAAAGGCUUUUGUUAACCCACUCUUUUCCCAGCAAAAAACCCUGAUCUGGUCUCUUUUCCAAUUAAACCAAAAGCAAUAUCACACCAAAUAAGCAAACAGAAAAUAUUGAAAUUACCACUUAAAGAGAGUUUUAUCUGGGGUUUAAUUGUGUGUGUACUCAAGCGUUUAGUGUAGGUCAUUUGCUAAUGACAUCUAGUAAUUUUUAAAAACUGGAUAAAACUGAUACUGAGCCUGUCUACAGCAAUUUAACUAUUUUGGGGGAGUAUAAAGUUAGAUUUGUCUAUACUGACUUGUUUGCUCCAUUUUAAAAACUGUGUUGGAAUGAUUUAUUAUGGAUGAUCCAAAAUAAACGUGAAGUGAGGAAACUA